This is an RNA transcript of Triticum aestivum (bread wheat), 1245 nucleotides long. It is a transcript of the gene named putative tRNA pseudouridine synthase C25B8.05, with no coding region annotated. The record is from RefSeq and is a predicted model, not a curated record. Lineage: Eukaryota; Viridiplantae; Streptophyta; Magnoliopsida; Poales; Poaceae. The transcript has 6 exons.
GGCCGAAGCCCAAAUUCCCCUCCGUCUCGCCUGACCCAUGCCCCGUGCCCCGGAACCCUAGCCGCCACUCCGCCUCGCCAUGCCACCGCGGUCGUCCCUCCAGUCGCUCCUCCGUUUGGCGGCCUGCACCUCCGCGAGCUCCGGGGGCUCGGGCCUCCUCCUCGCCGCGCGCCGCCGCUUCCCCGUCGCCUUCGCCGCUGCGUGGGGCCAGCGCCUCCGCCUCCUGCACUCCUUCUCGUCCCAGUCUCUCGGACCAGCGACCGAGGCGACGCCGCCGCGGGGGGCCAGCGCAUCCGGCUCCUCCACUCCUCGUCUCGACCGAGGCGACGCCGGCGCCAAACGUCCUGCAGGAGGUCGCACAGAGCAGGACCACCUCGCUGCCUCCAGGUCCGGAGGGGGCCGCAGAAGGUGACUUCGACCACCCCAAAGAGAGUCCAUCGUGGUGCCAGGCGGGGCAAGGAGGCAGCACAGAUCAUCUGCUAGUCGUGGGCAUCAAGUGAAUCCAAAGCACGCCCUGACUCUUGCUGUUGUGAUCUAUCUCCUUCGAUUGGUUUCCUCUAAGCGGCACUGCACAGAAGGUGUUUGACAAAAUGACCAAGCAAGGGGAACAUGACUUAAGGAAUUUCUGUAAGAUGGAUGCAGCAAACGUGAGCAAUUACAAGCGAUGCAUUACAGAUUUUACUAUUUCUGCGUGUGACCAAAGGUCCAACCAUGAUGAGCUAUGGUUCAUGAAUAUCAGGGGUAGCGCCUUUCUGUGGCAUCAAGUUUGUUGCAUGGUAGCUGUUCUUUUUCUUGUAGGUCAAGGCCUUGAAUCACCUAGUGUAGUUGAUUCAUUGCUGGAUAUUACCAGGACACCUAGAAAACCUCAAUAUACAAUGGCACCAGAGCUUCCAUUGAUUCUACGAUCUUGUCUAUUCGAUAGAGUUAGCUUCAUGUGUUCAUCAGGUACAUACAUUUAGACCUUUGUGGCAUCCAGUGCUAUAAGUGACACUCUCAAAUUCAUUCCAAAGUACUCCAGACUCCAAAGCAUGUCCCUUUCAUCCAUUCAGAAAUCUUGGAUUCAUAAAUGGGAGAAGCACAUAAGGGAGAAGAAGAUGAUUGCAAGGAUGGAGAGGGAGCACAUCAUUUGGAGGGAUAGAAUGCCACUGUUUGAUGUUUUUAUGCAUUUUUGUUUGCUUUCGACUGUGUUUGCACUAGCUCCAAGUUUACUAUAAAUCUUCAAUUUGUAAUGAUAUGUAAUGCUGC